Molecule: long non-coding RNA, 5160 nt
Filed under: Sus scrofa (pig)
Lineage: Eukaryota; Metazoa; Chordata; Mammalia; Artiodactyla; Suidae
Description: lncRNA (ENSSSCG00000061566.1)
Source: RNAcentral
GCAGUGCUUGUCCUCGGCAGCACCCGUUUAUGAGCCAGCAUAACUGUCACUGUGCUCAAAGUGGCAGGUAGGCUGGCACUGGAGAUUGUGGCUCCCAUUCCUUCCACCUUAACUCUUUGAGAACAGAAAAAUAAGCUUAUACUGAAACAAUUCUCCCUCGUCUGUAUGAGAAGAUUCUGUAUGCUGCCGCUGAGCAGAUGCCUUCAAUGCCUCCGUGGUUUCACUGCUGCUAAGACCUGGAGACUCGCUGGCUCACAAAAUCCAUGGCACAUUUAACCCCUUUGCCCCUUUCCCCCCGACACCUGGCUCCCUCUAGACCCCAACUUGUGAUGCUUCUGUCUGCUUAGAGACGGGACAUCUCAGACUCACUUCUGUGCAGACUGUGAGAUGUAAGCGUUUCACCUCCCAGCCGGUGCCGGUUCCUCUGGCCCCAGACCACACAGUUCAGCUUAAGAGCGCAGCACCACGCACACAUGUGUUUUCCGAUUGUACAGUAGCUGUCACCAGGACACAAAAACUUGUGAAAAGGCCGGGGCCCCCUUCAUGAGGUACCUUUUCCUCUUAGAAAAACAGGUUGACUUCUCCCCCAACACACACACACACACACACACGCACGCACGCACACUUACUUUAUAGAGACGGCAUACAAAAGAAAAAGGAUGGAAGAUCUCAAAUGAACACGUGGCAAACAGGCAAACACAUUUGAUCAUCUCCCCUUUCCUCCUUCGCCCUCCCCCCGCAAAAUACAGUAUUUAUAUUUUCCAGCCUCAGAGAAGAUAGCAGAACAUGAUCUUUCACGAGAGAAUUAUAGACCUGCUUAUUAUAAACCAGAUGUGCGCCCAUGGCAAAGUGCCUUUUCCCUCCACCCCCAGCUCCCUGUCACGGUAGCUCACCCCUGCCUGCUCGAGCACUGCUGCAUCUGUGAGUCGGACCUCAGCGAGGCUGUCCCCAGAACACGGCACCCGGAGACCCAAAGCGCAGGGCCGCCGCCUCCCCUUUGAGCAUGUUCGCCCCAUGGACAGAAUUUCCUGUCGCAUCUCACAGGCACCCAGGGUCAGAUCUGCCGAGAAUCAGGGUGACAUUCUGGGUCUGUUCUCAAGGCCUUUGCUUUCACCAGGCCCGUUUAGAGGCCCUGCCAAAUCCUGGCAGCCCCUGUGAACGUGUAAGAACUUUCCACCCACGUCAUUUUCGGCUUAUUUUCAAAAGGGGAAAAAAAUAAGUGUGCUCUCACCAUCAGCUCCCUAGAACUGGAACCAUAGCCCGGCCGCUUCUGUUUUCUCCACUCUUUGUAAAACCCCGGCAGCCUGGUCGGUGCCAGCCACAGGCCUACCUGACAUGGAGCCACGGCCACCAAAAUCCAACAGGACAGAGCAGAGCCGGCUCAGGAGUUGGGUCUGCCGUGAAAAUUCAAAAUUGCUAUUUUCAGCCCAGAAUGCCUUAGCCCACAUGAACGCCCUUACUGUUUUCAGCCCCAGUGAAUGACUUCGUGCACAGUAGGUAAUUGUUCCACUGUUUAGAAACUGUCGAAACAAAAGCAAAGCUGUAGAUUCCCACCUCCUUAAGAUCAAGCUAAUACCUGCUUGCCUUCGUGGUCCGUUUUUCAUCCCAUGUUAAGUAUCUUGCACAUAAAGCACAUAAGAAAAUGGCCACAUCAUCUCCUAGAGCUGGCAGCCGACUCGGGAAACUCAUUUCUCUUGAAAGGCCCACUCCUUGGUGUAGCACUUGAGGAAAUCCCACCUCGCAGUGCCAGAAACUCAUGUGUGAGACCGUCCAGCCCUGGUGAACUGUUGGCAUCUCAGCCUGGAGGAAAGAAGCCAGUUCCUAAAAUAGACCUCAGUGUGCACCACGGCGGGAAGGCCACAAAGUACUUAAAAAGCAGGCCACUGGGAUGGGAGUCGUGUUCUUUCCAGGGUGGCUCUUUCUCCAAGGUGAAAUCUCUUUGUAUGAAAAGCAUGUAAACGCUCAUCUUCCCCCUUUGCUCCACUGCCUUUGCCUUUUCAGGGGACUGUGUUAUCGAUGUCUUUAUGUCUGGAGUGCUCAACUGUCGUCUUUGUAGGAGCUUGAAUAUUUGGGGGUUUUGUUACUGUUUUUUUUUAGGGUGGCACCUGCAGCAUAUGUAGGUUCUCCAGGCUGGGGGUCCAAUCGGAGCUGUAGCUGCCAGCCUACAGCACAGCCACAGCAACACGGGACCCGAGCUGCAUCUGAGACCUGCACCUCAGCUCCCUACAAGGCCGGAUCCUUAACCCACUGAGCAAGGCCAGGGAUCGAACCUGCAUCCUCAUGGAUACAAGCUGGGUUCAUUAGCACUGAGCCACAACUGGAACUCCUGGGAGCUUGAACAUUUGAUUAGCUGAGAAGGUCAUCGCUUUUUGAUUCUUCUAGACUAGACCCCCCACUGAAAAAGCUAUGGCUGGGACUUGGGAUUUGUGCUUUCCAGCCAACUUCCCCCAAGGGACUGUGCCGUGAUUUCCUGCAGGCCACAGUGAGGGCUGAGCUCUUUCCAUGGCUCUAGAUGCUGUAGGCAGCCCUCUCUAAGCUGCAGUGGAAUCCCCCUGCAAGGGGUCUAGCCUGUUUUUGUCUCAGCAUUUGUACACACUACACAUUGACACUGAAUCAUUUCUUCCCAGGCCUUCUCAGAAAGGCUUGGCUUCCAAACCUGUGGCUUUGUUCUCUACCCAUUGGCCAGAAAAGGCCAUACGUAAAUUAUUCUAUCAGGGUAGGAAUCGCGUGAUGUUGCACUGGACACUUUCUGGAAAGAGAUCUGAUGAAGCCGAGAUACACUCUGCUCCUGAUUUAGGGUUAAGCCAAUGCUGCUGUUCCUGUGUUUGGGCAGAAUUCUUCACCUCCACUGAUCGGCCGCACUUUAUUGAAAUAACUGCGUUGUGAAGUAAAUCUUCACCUCCUGAUUUAAUACUGCUUGGAGUCAACACAAAGGUGAUUUUAUUUUUUUACUUCUCCCAGGAAAGAGAGCUGCAUGCAAUUUCCCCCCCUUCUUUCAUUGUGUUUUGUUUUGUUUUGGCCCCUGGGCCAGGGAUGGAACCUGAGCCACAGCAAUAACCUGAGCCACAGCAUGGACGACGCCAAGUCCUUAACCACUAGGCCACCAGGGAACUCCUCCCCUGAUGUCUUGAGUUUUCUGUCCCACUACUUUUUUUCCCUCCAAGAUAAUGCAAAAGAGAAUUGGAGGCAAAACUGAAGGAAGUGAACACACUCUCCUUGGCAUGAAUUGAGUCAUUGGAAGCGCCGUUUUCCUUUCCUUGGUCCUUGCUAAGAACCAGGCAUUAACAGCACAGCUCCGGGUGUUGUGUACCCCGUACCGUCAGUCCAGUAGAACCAACUGCCCUACCUAAGUACCUGGACCCAGUGAUGGGUGAGCAAGCCCUGCUCGGUUUCUUUGAACAGACAAAUAUGAUUUCUGUCAUGUGGGACAGUGUUUUGACAGUGAAGUCCAGUACCUCAAGUCAUUGUCACCGACUUUAGAUAAAGUCCAAAAAAGUACGGAACACCCUCCUAGGCAUACCCACGGUUGUCAGGGGUUUUAUUUUAAACGGGUUCCAAGCAACCAUGUGACAGGGCACUUGCCUCCUACAGAGGCCUCCAAAGUGAUGGAAGGUGCCAUUACCCUCAAGGGAAGAGACAGUUGCUCUUUUGCUUUGUUUGGUUCCUCCCUGUGGAAAGAGAAGCCAUCUUGCUAGAAAGAUCUGGAGUCCGUUGUUACCCAGGUAGAAGACCUGGCUGCCUCAGCAGCUCUUAGCACAGGGAAGAGCCCCUCUUAGGCCCUAGAGCUGCAGACCAGCCUUUCUCCCCAUCCCCGAUUUUCCUUGCCCCAGGCCUGAGCCCUGGACCAGAUUCAAGCCUCAUGGCUGGUACACUGGCUGGUGGACCACUGGGGCCUGCGGCUCCUUCUCAUGUUGGCUGUCGCGUUCGUUUCUUUUCCCCGUAGGAGUGCCUUACAGUACUGCCUAGUGCUUCUAGUCUAGACUAUCUGACCCACUUGAAGCUUGCAGGACCCUUCGCCUGAACAUGGGUCACUUCGCUUCUUCUGUACUUGCUGCUCUUCAUACAGGCAUGCUUGGAGCCCGCAUAUUCCGCACGCAUGUCGACCUUCCACCUUCACGCAACCUGGUGCCUUAACCUCAUGAGUACAAGGAUGCCUGCUGGAAACACGUGGUCAAAGUAGACUACGGUGGGAACGCCGGCUUCCUGGUGCCAUUGACGCUUUUACCAGGAAAUACAAAAGAUACACCCGCAUCACGUUUCAACUCGGUCGUAUGCUGUUUUCCAGAUCACUUUUUUUGUUUGCUUGCUUGCUUUUCAUUAACCAAACUCAGGGGAAUGUCAUGAUGUCACCAAGGCCAAUGGGUAGAGAAAUUUGAACCGGUUAUUUAGAUUUGAAUCUGUAACGUCAGUGACCUUAGCCUGUUGCAGGUUAAAAAGUUACACAAACACAAGGAUUUUCUUUUCCUUUACCAUAUAAAGGGUUUUGGUAUUUUAUUUUAUUUGGCCACCUGAUUUCCAAAUGGGAAGUGGGAAGCCAGUUGGAUGAAUUAUAAUAGAAACAUUUCUGUGUGGCAUGGGCCGUCCACCAAGCUAUUACGUUAGGCUUUCACCACCGGAGACCCCGGUUCUGAUUUUAGUCGCCUAUCAGGAUUUUAUUGUGAAGAGUUAGUAGCCUCCCUUAGAAGAUUUAAGGGGGAAAAAAAAAAUCUGUCUUCUUUAAGGAACAGUAAAAGGAGGGAAAAUGCGUAGGUUGCAAAUGCAAAGUAUUGAAUGUGGGGUGUGGAAGGCUUCUGCACGACAUGUUCUUCUGCUCCUGGGUCAGAUCAGUGUCAUUUUCCCUUAUUUCUGCUCAUGCUGGACAGAACGAUCCAAAAUGUGGGGUUUGGCUAUUACUACGUAACUCUGUGUUGAGCUAUUUGUAAUAGCUCCUGUGGUAACUUAUGUAUGUGCUGUUUCUGUCUUCUGGAUUUUAUUGCCUUUUGUUCUGGCAUAACAUCCAUAUUUUUGUUUACAUCAUUUUUAAAAUAUCAGUAACUAUAAUAAUAUAAAGUGAAGUUGUGUUGUGGACAAGACCCCUCGUUUUUAUGGUCAUCUGUCAUAUAAUUUAAGUGCACCCGUUCCCCGUGUAUAAAGUUAUCUUUCUCUCAAUAAACAGUGCAG